This 179-nucleotide ribosomal RNA is filed under the name uncultured bacterium. RNAcentral describes it as "partial 16S ribosomal RNA". It matches the Rfam family "Bacterial small subunit ribosomal RNA", at positions 338 to 508 of the family's 1533-position model. The record is from RNAcentral.
CCUACGGGAGGCAGCAGUGGGGAAUAUUGGACAAUGGGCGAAAGCCUGAUCCAGCCAUGCGCGUGUGUGAAGAAGGUCUUCGGAUUGUAAAGCACUUUAAGUUGGGAGGAAGGGCAGUAACCUUAAUACUGUUAGUGUUUUGACGUUACCGACAGAAUAAGCACCGGCUAACUCUGUGC